GUCCACGCUGUAAACGAUGAAUACUAGCUGUUGGUGACGAUAAGUUAUCAGUAGCGCAGCAAACGCGAUAAGUAUUCCGCCUGGGGAGUACGGCCGCAAGGCUAAAACUCAAAGGAAUUGACGGGGCCCGCACAAGCGGUGGAGCAUGUGGUUUAAUUCGAUGCAACGCGAAGAACCUUACCUACUCUUGACAUCCUUAGAAUCCAUGAGAGAUUGUGGAGUGCCGAAAGGAACUAAGAGACAGGUGCUGCAUGGCUGUCGU
This 262-nucleotide ribosomal RNA is filed under the name uncultured bacterium. RNAcentral describes it as "partial 16S ribosomal RNA". It matches the Rfam family "Bacterial small subunit ribosomal RNA", at positions 793 to 1055 of the family's 1533-position model. The record is from RNAcentral.